CUUGUUUUGCUUUCAUCUUUUUCAAUCAUGAAAUUGUAUUACUUUACCAAAAGUUAUAAAUUGCAUAAAAAGUCAUAUGCGUGUUUAUAAAUAAUCUCAAUUCAAACUUGUAAAGCAAACAAACGGGCACCAGUUCUAAAGCAGAAAUUAAAAGUGGUUCCGAAUUGCUCAAUUAAAUUUACUGCGGAAUUUUCUGUGAAUUUGUUUGGCUUUGUUUUUCCUUUUUCCUUCUAUACGUUUUUUUUAAUUAUUUUUGUUCAAAACUGCAAGUUAUUUAGUUAUCGAUUGAUUGGUCGGUAAAUAUUGAGACGAAGAACAGCAAUAAAAGCGAUGGCCCUUUACUGUCGGCGUUGCCAAGUGUGUUUAGUAAAUCUGUGUUAUAAAUUACAAACCGUCUUUACCUUUUAAUGAAAAAUUAUUUUAUUUCUGAAUCAAAAAUUAAAUGAAUAAAAAGACCCAUCAAUGAAAAAUGUCAGCAACCCAAGGGUCUACUCUAUAUCUUCUUCGCAAGGCAAGGGUAACAGUCCUGUCCCCUCUCGUAACCCUUGGCCACCGAAGAUGAU
This 563-nucleotide long non-coding RNA is filed under the name Mytilus galloprovincialis (Mediterranean mussel). The record is from RNAcentral. Lineage: Eukaryota; Metazoa; Mollusca; Bivalvia; Mytilida; Mytilidae.